This 25-nucleotide transfer RNA is filed under the name Moraea maximiliani. RNAcentral describes it as "partial tRNA-Phe". The record is from RNAcentral. RNAcentral also lists the same sequence under 1 other name. Lineage: Eukaryota; Viridiplantae; Streptophyta; Magnoliopsida; Asparagales; Iridaceae.
UAAAAGGUCGGGAUAGCUCAGUUGG